This 253-nucleotide ribosomal RNA is filed under the name uncultured bacterium. RNAcentral describes it as "partial 16S ribosomal RNA". It matches the Rfam family "Bacterial small subunit ribosomal RNA", at positions 524 to 776 of the family's 1533-position model. The record is from RNAcentral.
GACGUAGGUGGCGAACGUUAUCCGGAUUUAUUGGGCGUAAAGGGCGCGCAGGCGGCUACGCACGUCCGUUGUGAAAUCGCUCGGCUCAACUGGGCGGGGUCAGCGGAUACGGCGUAGCUGGAGCAAGCUAGGGGGCAAUGGAAUUCCCGGUGUAGUGGUGGAAUGCGUAGAUAUCGGGAGGAACACCAGUGGCGAAGGCGGUUGCCUGGAGCUUUGCUGACGCUGAGGAGCGAAAGCAUGGGGAGCGAACAGG